AUCAUGAUGAUUGGAUGAGUGAUAAGAAAAUGAUAAGCUUCCAAAGGUAAGCGCGCAGGUCGUCUUUCUGCAGUUCAUACCAGUUUCCUCAGUUAUCACAGUGAAGUGAUGUUUAUAUGUGAGGUUCGUCGCCAUUUUCGGCACAAAAGCACAGUUUUCAAAAAGGAAUCCUAAAAUUGAAGGUUUGAGAGCCUCCAACCAGACAUCAUAAGUUCAAAACUCCUAAUUAAUUCAAUGAAAUAACAAAAACAGUAAUAAAAUCACAAAAGCUGCGACUUUUACCUACUUUUUUUGGCAUACCAUUUUCUGAAUCUAUAAAAUGUGAUAAUUACCCGCAAGAAUAUUCACCUCCUCUCGUAGCCAGUGAAAUUUUUCUUUCAAUGUAAUUUUUUGUGAGUUAUUUUGAUUGCUAAAUGUGUUCAUGAUGUUAAUUAUUCAUCAAAUUUAUAUGCGAUUUAGUUGUUGUACAUUUUAAUAUACGUGAAUUUUGAAUUUGAAUAUAUUUCUUUAAUUUCGGACGAAAACUGACUCUUGCUCUUCUUGAUUAUUCGUAGGUACUU
Non-coding RNA from Bemisia tabaci, 560 nucleotides. The record is from RefSeq and is a predicted model, not a curated record. Lineage: Eukaryota; Metazoa; Arthropoda; Insecta; Hemiptera; Aleyrodidae.